GGGCGCAUAGCUCAGUUGGCAGAGCAGCUGACUCUUAAUCAGCGGGUCGCAGGUUCGAGCCCUGCUGCGCCCACCA
Molecule: transfer RNA, 76 nt
Filed under: Rhodospirillaceae bacterium
Lineage: Bacteria; Pseudomonadati; Pseudomonadota; Alphaproteobacteria; Rhodospirillales; Rhodospirillaceae
Also listed under: 1 other name
Description: tRNA-Lys
Rfam family: tRNA
About the family: Transfer RNA (tRNA) molecules are approximately 80 nucleotides in length. Their secondary structure includes four short double-helical elements and three loops (D, anti-codon, and T loops).
Source: RNAcentral